RNAcentral lists this transfer RNA (68 nucleotides) under Betaproteobacteria bacterium. Its description in RNAcentral is "tRNA-Ser". It matches the Rfam family "tRNA". Rfam says of the family: Transfer RNA (tRNA) molecules are approximately 80 nucleotides in length. Their secondary structure includes four short double-helical elements and three loops (D, anti-codon, and T loops). Lineage: Bacteria; Pseudomonadati; Pseudomonadota; Betaproteobacteria. The record is from RNAcentral. RNAcentral also lists the same sequence under 1 other name.
GGAGAGAUGGCCGAGUGGUCGAAGGCACUCCCCUGCUAAGGAGGGUUCGAAUCCCUCUCUCUCCGCCA